Hyla sarda is the source of this 699-nucleotide long non-coding RNA. RefSeq lists it as uncharacterized. The transcript has 2 exons. Lineage: Eukaryota; Metazoa; Chordata; Amphibia; Anura; Hylidae. The record is from RefSeq and is a predicted model, not a curated record.
CUGGUUAGGAGAAACAAGUAGAUUGCACCCACAGGGAGCAGCGCCAUUUUAAUAAAAAAUUGCCCAAAAUCCCUUAGAUAACAGUCAUACAGAAUAUAUUAGAAAGCUUUUUUGUUUUUCAGCCAAUCAGAGAGCAGCACUACUGAAAUAGAACACUCAGGAGGUAACAGCGUGUCACACAUGUGAUGUCAUAACCAUUGUCCACCAGAGAGCAGCACUGAGCAGAUAUAACACUGCUCCUGCUCAUUCUUCAUCAGUGAGGGGCUGAUGCUGGACACUGUAGGGGCCGAGAAUGCAAAGUCACAUACACUACUGUGACUGAUAAUCUAUCUUUUGUUUUCCUAUCUUAGAUGCACUAUUUCCAGGAUGUGGAGUAGCAUUUCCGGACCUACAGCAAGACGUUGGAUGAAGACGUAGAUUUCCAGACCUAUUCCAGAAGAAUUUGGAUGAAGGCACAGCCCCUCGAAUCACGCACAUACACAGACACAUUUGCCCAAAUUCUAGAGGUAACCUCCUUUAGUAUGCCCAGAGGAAGGGCAAUACAGUAGCCAUGGAUUCCCUACAGGUUUCCUCCCCUCUGGAGGUUUUUCCUGUCCUGAGUAUGUUACUGUACGCUCUUUGUGAGUGAUGGAGGUUACAAAAAAUCCCCGACACAAACAUUUUUAUAUAUAAUAAAUAAAGUUCCCCUUUUUAAACCAU